UUUUUCUCCCUCUCACACUCGACGGAAACCCUACGAAAGGGAAAAAAUUCGCCGCCUCCAUCUUCCUCCGCCACCACGACGCCGACUCUCCUCCGCCACAACAAAUUUCCGGCGACCAGAAACCAGAAACCCUACAACAAAUCCCCAACCAUACAACUUCCAGAUGGCACGGAUAUUUACCCCCAUCCCCGAGACUGAUUCUACCAAAUCAGGAAACGGUAAAGAAUGAAAAGCGGUGGAAACGAAGCUAAUCUGAUAUCAAUCAAAGAUAGAGAAGCAGGAAGAGCGGCAGAGUCGGAGGAAUCUACACUGAAAACCCUCAAAGACCGACGAAAAUCAACGAUUCAAGGAAUUAGGUAGAUUUAAUGAACAUUUCGAACGGUAUUGAAGUUUCUAAGAAAGAAAAGAAGAAGGGCUUCCAUGACUGCACAACCCUAAACACCAAGAGGAAGAUCAAGGUAUAAAAGCUCAACAUAAAGGAAGAUGAGACAUUCAACAAUGCAAAGAAAUCCAGAAAUAAGAAGAUGAGUACCUGAACUUUAAUGUGCUGAGUCCUUAGAUGGCAAACUCUUGAGUAUUACAGAUUUUCUCAGUUUCUUCAUUGAUAGCUAUCUUUUAUGUUGGUAACAAAGAGAUAUUAUAGAUUAAGAUGACAAGAGAGCUCAAUGAAAAAGCUAAGAUUUAGGAGGUAUAGAACUACUUCUAAACCAUGAUGACCAUAAUCUGUGUAGUGAAAUGAUGUAUUUAGGACAAAGAAGAAGUUUAAGAGAACUAUAGAAAAGUAAGAAAUCAGAGACGAAUGAUAAGGGGAAUGCAAGAAAUUUAAAGGGUUAGAGCCACAUAUAAACCAAGAAGACCUUUCAGUUUAUCAUGGUUAUCAAUAGUCUAAACAUACAAAAUAGGUGUAGUAUGUUGAUGUAGUAUGUUGUAAAUUUUGAUGAAUUUUACAAAAAUGAAUGUAAAUUUUACAUUCAUGAAUUCAUACUAUAAUGAUGAAUUCAAACUAUACUUGGAAAUAUUGAUGUAGUAUGUUGUAAAUUUUACAAAAAAUGAAUUCAAACUAUACUUAUAAUAGUUGUUAUCUGUCUGAAUGUUCAAAUGUAUGAGCUUAAGAGAAUCUUAUGUUCCAAACUACUAUUGUAUACACACUAAUUUUUAUUGUAAUAUAAGUUUCGUUAACUGAUUUGAUUGAAUGAAAUGUUCAAUGUUUUGUCUUAGAAAUUUCCCAAAUAUUCAAUUAGUAAAAGCUAAAUGAUGGUACAUAGAGAUAUUGGAUAUGAUCUGUGUUUCUAAAUGUUUAUUAAUGUUGCAUGUGACUGAAAUUAUCUGAAUCACUAUUAGUUUCAUUGCUUAACUAUUAAACGACCUUAUUCAAUAACCUCUGCACUCCUUCUAAAUAGGAAAUAAAAAAGAAUAAAACCACUAAUACAAGACUUAAACAUGAAAAAAUUAACACUCGUUGGCAUAAAAUUUCCGAUCAACUUCUUAACUAUUUCAAUCAUAUAUUCAAAGGGUUUAGUAUAUCAUAACAAAGAAAAAAAGCUUCAUCUCUUUAUGUUCUUGCAAUAAUACACAUUAUAUGCCAUCAAUGAUCUUUCUUGAAAGAGUAUACUAAUCAACAAUUUUUUGAUUUCAGUAGCUCAAGUGGUGAACAACACCAUAAUACAUGAGAUUUUGAAUGAGGAGAAGCAACCAACGAAAGAAGUUAAAGAGCAUAAAAGAUAUCUUAACCUUGUUCCUGUUAAUCAAGAAUGACAGAUGAUUGGAGGGGAAUAUGAUGAUCUCCAGUUGAAAUCCCUUGAGGAUUUGUCUUGCUUAGAGGAAUUGUAUAAUUUUUUUACUUUUAAUCUCAAUAUUGAUUUCUCUUCUUGAAGUUUAUUUGUAAAAUUUCAAUAGUUUCUUUUUGGAUUUGAUUUUUAGGAUGGUUCAUGUUGGGUUUUUGGCAAGAUUGAGUCGGUUGAAUGCCAUUAUAAUGAAUGGUUUUAUUUGGCUUGCAAGACAUGUAUGAAGAAGGUUAGACAAGUGGACAAUAAGUAUAACUGUAUUGGAUGUCACAAGACCAAUUCUUAUGCAAUUAAAAGGUUCAUAUUUUUUUUAAUGUUGUUGAUCACACCAGUAAUGCUUCUUUGUUGUUGUGGAUAUCCAGUUACUAGGAAGAAAUGUGGCUGACUUAGUUGGAGAUGGUGGUCAGGUUUAUCUUUUAAAUUCUGUAGAGUCAUAGUCUGCAAACUUCAUCAACAUCAGAUUGAAAAAACUGUUGUUGGUCAGAAUGUUUUGUUCAAACUUCAGUUCGAAAAUCAUAUUGAAUAUUAUAGGAGCUACCCAUUCACUGUCAAGGUGUGCACUAUACCUGAUGUGUUGAGAAGUAUACUCCUAAGGAUUUGGGUGAACAUAUUUUUGAAUCUGAUGUGAAGUUGUCUAAUCUUCUUUUUGAAAAUGAUCUUGAUGAGGUAUA
This is a non-coding RNA of Salvia hispanica, 2455 nucleotides long. Lineage: Eukaryota; Viridiplantae; Streptophyta; Magnoliopsida; Lamiales; Lamiaceae. The record is from RefSeq and is a predicted model, not a curated record.